Molecule: long non-coding RNA, 317 nt
Organism: Dendronephthya gigantea
Lineage: Eukaryota; Metazoa; Cnidaria; Anthozoa; Malacalcyonacea; Nephtheidae
Exons: 3
Source: RefSeq, a predicted model, not a curated record
AGAAUUUCCUUUACAAAAGCUUGAUCACAAAAUACAACAAGCAAUAAUAAUGCCGGGAUGGAAAUAUAAUGGCGUUUUCCGCCCACAAUGAGAUGGGCCAAAAUGAGAGAAUAGAAAAAGUUAGUUCUAAAACCUAUUCACCGCGAACAGGCGACUCAGAAUCGAAGUUUAUACCAAAUCCUUCUGCUCAGCCAUUUGUGCCGAAGUGGAACUUAAGUACACCAGAGAAAUUGAACAGCUACUUGGCACAGCUUCAGUUUGUUGUUUCACUGAGCAUAUUUAGAAAAUAUAGUCGUGUCUCCCAGCUUCUGUUUUGG